RNAcentral lists this long non-coding RNA (438 nucleotides) under Pan paniscus (pygmy chimpanzee). RNAcentral describes it as "lncRNA (ENSPPAG00000045193.1)". The record is from RNAcentral. Lineage: Eukaryota; Metazoa; Chordata; Mammalia; Primates; Hominidae.
AUUGUACAAUUUUGCAAUUUAUAGGUCAAGAAAUCAUAACUUUAAAAGAGUUCCUGUUUCAUGAUGGCUAAAAAUAAACUUUUGGGGAAAAAAGGCACCCAAAUUCAGGACUAGAGAUCCUGCUCUUCUACACAAGUUUUCUUCAAAAUUAUCACUUAUUGGGGUCAUAGAUUGUGGCUCUUCAACCGAGAUUUACUCUACAGAACAAGCCUUAUGUGGAGGGUAUUAUUCUUUGCUUUUGUAAAAAGUAAGUUUUUUGAUACUCUUACUGAUUCAAGCAUGAGUUUUCCUUGAUAAGAUGCAAUUUUACCUAACAAUGAAAUGAUUAAUGGCACAUAGCUUUGUGAGUCAAGGUAUUUAUACAAGAAUGUGGAAAAGUGGUAAUUUUAUAACUGAUUUGAUCAGAGUGUCAUGAUUGAAAGAAUUCUUUAAAGACAG